GACGAACGCUGGCGGCGUGCUUAACACAUGCAAGUCGAACGGAAAGGCCUCUUUCGGGGGGUACUCGAGUGGCGAACGGGUGAGUAACACGUGAGUAACCUGCCCUUGACUUUCGGAUAACUUCAGGAAACUGGGGCUAAUACCGGAUAGGAGCUCCUGCUGCAUGGUGGGGGUUGGAAAGUUUCGGCGGUUGGGGAUGGACUCGCGGCUUAUCAGCUUGUUGGUGGGGUAGUGGCUUACCAAGGCUUUGACGGGUAGCCGGCCUGAGAGGGUGACCGGCCACAUUGGGACUGAGAUACGGCCCAGACUCCUACGGGAGGCAGCAGUGGGGAAUAUUGCACAAGGGGUGGAAGCCUGAUGCAGCAACGCCGUGUGCGGGAGGACGGCCUUCGGGUUGUAAACCGCUUUCGCUCAUGACGAAGCUUUGUGUGACGGUAGUGGGUAAAGAAGCACCGGCUAACUACGUG
RNAcentral lists this ribosomal RNA (467 nucleotides) under uncultured bacterium. RNAcentral's name for it is "partial 16S ribosomal RNA". It matches the Rfam family "Bacterial small subunit ribosomal RNA", at positions 28 to 507 of the family's 1533-position model. The record is from RNAcentral.